Molecule: long non-coding RNA, 1005 nt
Organism: Lemur catta (Ring-tailed lemur)
Lineage: Eukaryota; Metazoa; Chordata; Mammalia; Primates; Lemuridae
Exons: 5
Source: RefSeq, a predicted model, not a curated record
CUCCUCUGUUCAGCGAGGCCCAGUUGGCUCCGCCACAGCUUCUUUUGUCCUGUGACCUGCAGGUACUGAAAGCUCCACAGGGAGGACACCAGUACACCCCGGAUGCCAGGAAGUGGCUUCUGAACGGUUGGGGACCCAAGAUGCCCACAGUGACCACGUUUCCUGGAGUGUUUGGCAAAUAACCUCAGGCCUGGGUUACCUCCUCAUAGAGGACAGUCUGAGGUUGAUUUCUGGAUAUUUAUUUUGUUUCUUUGAUUGGCCACGUCAACUGUGUACGUUGUAUAUGUUAAAAUUUGGGCAUUAAAAAAUAGUCACCUGUCAACGGCUUUGUCCAGGGGAAGUCUGACACCAAUUGGCUGAGCUAACGAUUCUGUGAGGCUCUGAAGCUUGUUUUCAGAGUGUGUCUUCUCUGAAGAUGUGUCUUCAUUUUCCACUUAAAAAGCACUCUAUGUCAUGGGAGAGAGAAACCAGUCUUUGGAAAGGCCUUAAAAAUCCAGAAGUAUGGACAUGUGUGCCAGUAUUUUCUUUCUCUCUUGAGGGAGAAUCCAGGAGUUGGGUGUUUACUUCUAAAUGCAGCAUUCUACAUUGAAGAAGAGGAAGAGAUGUGCUAUGCCUUCUCAUUACACCCAAGACCUUUUGACAGAGAAGGGCAUAAAAGAUUUAUUCCAAAAAGUCACACUGGGAAGAUAUGGAAGCUGUGACCUUGAGAAUUGAAACCUAAGGAAAGACUGGGUAAAUAUAAGGAGCAGAAAGGAUGUUCUAAUGAACUUAAGCAAUGUUCAUCAACUACACAUAGCAAAAUCUUCAGAUGUAAUAAAUGUGUGAAAGUCUUUGGUAAAUUAUCAAAUCUAAAUAGACAUAAAACAUGCUGGAGAGAAACCUUUCAAAUGUGAAGAAUGUGGCAAAUCCUUUCACAUGUACUCAAUCCUAACAUAACAUCAGAGAAUCCAUACUCAUGAAAAGAAUUUUAUGAAUCCCUACAAAUAUAAACAAUAUGGAAAAGUC